GAGUUUGAUCAUGGCUCAGGACGAACGCUGGCGGCGUGCUUAACACAUGCAAGUCGAACGAAGAGCGAUGGAAGCUUGCUUCUAUCAAUCUUAGUGGCGAACGGGUGAGUAACGCGUAAUCAACCUGCCCUUCAGAGGGGGACAACAGUUGGAAACGACUGCUAAUACCGCAUACGAUCUAAACUCGGCAUCGAGGAUAGAUGAAAGGUGGCCUCUACAUGUAAGCUAUCACUGAAGGAGGGGAUUGCGUCUGAUUAGCUAGUUGGAGGGGUAACGGCCCACCAAGGCGAUGAUCAGUAGCCGGUCUGAGAGGAUGAACGGCCACAUUGGGACUGAGACGCGGCCCAGACUCCUACGGGAGGCAGCAGUGGGGAAUCUUCCGCAAUGGACGAAAGUCUGACGGAGCAACGCCGCGUGAGUGAUGACGGCCUUCGGGUUGUAAAGCUCUGUUAAUCGGGACGAAAGGCCUUCUUGCGAAUAGUGAGAAGGAUUGACGGUACCGGAAUAGAAAGCCACGGCUAACUACGUGCCAGCAGCCGCGGUAAUACGCAGGUGGCAAGCGUUGUCCGGAAUUAUUGGGCGUAAAGCGCGCGCAGGCGGAUAGGUCAGUCUGUCUUAAAAGUUCGGGGCUUAACCCCGUGAUGGGAUGGAAACUGCCAAUCUAGAGUAUCGGAGAGGAAAGUGGAAUUCCUAGUGUAGCGGUGAAAUGCGUAGAUAUUAGGAAGAACACCAGUGGCGAAGGCGACUUUCUGGACGAAAACUGACGCUGAGGCGCGAAAGCCAGGGGAGCGAACGGGAUUAGAUACCCCGGUAGUCCUGGCCGUAAACGAUGGGUACUAGGUGUAGGAGGUAUCGACCCCUUCUGUGCCGGAGUUAACGCAAUAAGUACCCCGCCUGGGGAGUACGACCGCAAGGUUGAAACUCAAAGGAAUUGACGGGGGCCCGCACAAGCGGUGGAGUAUGUGGUUUAAUUCGACGCAACGCGAAGAACCUUACCAGGUCUUGACAUUGAUGGACAGAACCAGAGAUGGUUCCUCUUCUUCGGAAGCCAGAAAACAGGUGGUGCACGGUUGUCGUCAGCUCGUGUCGUGAGAUGUUGGGUUAAGUCCCGCAACGAGCGCAACCCCUAUCUUAUGUUGCCAGCACGUAAAGGUGGGAACUCAUGAGAGACUGCCGCAGACAAUGCGGAGGAAGGCGGGGAUGACGUCAAAUCAUCAUGCCCCUUAUGACCUGGGCUACACACGUACUACAAUGGGAGUUAAUAGACGGAAGCGAGAUCGCGAGAUGGAGCAAACCCGAGAAACACUCUCUCAGUUCGGAUCGUAGACUGCAACUCGCCUACGUGAAGUCGGAAUCGCUAGUAAUCGCAGGUCAGCAUACUGCGGUGAAUACGUUCCCGGGCCUUGUACACACCGCCCGUCA
This 1422-nucleotide ribosomal RNA is filed under the name uncultured bacterium. Its description in RNAcentral is "bacterial SSU rRNA". It matches the Rfam family "Bacterial small subunit ribosomal RNA". The record is from RNAcentral.